UUUAUCGAUCCAAACAAAAAC
Non-coding RNA from Caenorhabditis elegans, 21 nucleotides. Lineage: Eukaryota; Metazoa; Nematoda; Chromadorea; Rhabditida; Rhabditidae. The record is from Ensembl.